This 525-nucleotide long non-coding RNA is filed under the name Mytilus galloprovincialis (Mediterranean mussel). The record is from RNAcentral. Lineage: Eukaryota; Metazoa; Mollusca; Bivalvia; Mytilida; Mytilidae.
UAAGAACUGUAAAUAUCGGAUGAAUCUAAAGGUUAUCAAGACCAGAUGUGUUAGUUUAAACAUAUUUAUUCAUAGGGGAAUGGAAAACAAGUUACUGAAACUUAAAUUAACCCCUUUCCACUUUCGGGUGCGAGUGCUGCCUUGUAGCGGCAUUAUUCUACUCUUUUUCGAAAUCUACAAGGGCGUCUUUUUCGUGCAAGAAAUAUGUCUCUCUCUUAACAUGGGUCAGCCAUUUAUCGCCCCCUUCCGCCGGACUAUCAUCGUUCUCAAGACCAUACUCGCAAAUGGUGUCAGCGGAGAGCCGACAAUUCAGUCCCUAAAAUUUUCAUCCCGAAACGGGGAUCGAACAAGGAACUUUUGUGUUAGAAGUCCAAUUACUUAACCACUACACUACGACUCGUCUCUCCAGAAGUGUUAGCAAGUGUUGCCUGCUUUGCAAACAUCAUACCGUUCAACAAUCAAUGCAAAAUAAACAUGCAGUUGACAAUGCAAUAGGAGAUAAUCAAUUUUAUCGACGUAUAACCC